Non-coding RNA from Oryza barthii, 204 nucleotides. Lineage: Eukaryota; Viridiplantae; Streptophyta; Magnoliopsida; Poales; Poaceae. The record is from Rfam.
UAAAAAGACAAACAUGGAUUUUCGUGUCCAAUGUUUGACUGUCCCUCUUAAAUGAAUUUUUUUAUAAUUAGUAUUUUCAUUGUUGUUAGAUGAUAAAACAUGAUUAAUACUUUAUGCGUGACUUGUCUUUUUAUUUUAUUUAUUUUUUUUCAAAUAAGACAGACGGUCAAACGUUGGACACGGAAAACCAGGGUUUGUCGUCCC